UACAGAGGGUGCAAGCGUUAAUCGGAGUUACUGGGCGUAAAGGGCGCGUAGGUGGUCAUUUAAGUUAGAUGUGAAAUCCCUGGGCUUAACCUAGGAACUGCAUCUAAUACUGGAUGACUGGAGUACUGUAGAGGGUAGUGGAAUUUCCGGUGUAGCGGUGAAAUGCGUAGAGAUCGGAAGGAACACCAGUGGCGAAGGCGGCUACCUGGACAGAUACUGACACUGAGGCGCGAAAGCGUGGGGAGCAAACAGG
RNAcentral lists this ribosomal RNA (253 nucleotides) under uncultured bacterium. RNAcentral's name for it is "partial 16S ribosomal RNA". It matches the Rfam family "Bacterial small subunit ribosomal RNA", at positions 524 to 776 of the family's 1533-position model. The record is from RNAcentral.